UGUCCUAUAGCGUAAUGGUAGCGCAGCAGAUUCUGGAUCUGUUAGUCUAGGUUCGAGCCCUGGUAGGACAA
RNAcentral lists this transfer RNA (71 nucleotides) under Bacteroidia bacterium. RNAcentral describes it as "tRNA-Gln". It matches the Rfam family "tRNA". From Rfam's summary of the family: Transfer RNA (tRNA) molecules are approximately 80 nucleotides in length. Lineage: Bacteria; Pseudomonadati; Bacteroidota; Bacteroidia. The record is from RNAcentral. RNAcentral also lists the same sequence under 1 other name.